RNAcentral lists this small RNA (445 nucleotides) under Trifolium arvense (rabbitfoot clover). Its description in RNAcentral is "eukaryotic LSU rRNA". The stretch from base 305 to 445 matches the Rfam family "Eukaryotic large subunit ribosomal RNA", at positions 1 to 141 of the family's 3401-position model. Lineage: Eukaryota; Viridiplantae; Streptophyta; Magnoliopsida; Fabales; Fabaceae. The record is from RNAcentral.
UGCAGAAUCCCGUGAACCAUCGAGUCUUUGAACGCAAGUUGCGCCCGAUGCCAUUAGGUUGAGGGCACGUCUGCCUGGGCGUCACAUAUCGAAGCCUCUUGCCAAUUUCCUAUUAAUAGGUAUGGUGCAGGAUGAUGUUGGCCUCCCGUGAGCUCCAUCGUCUCAUGGUUGGUUGAAAAUCGAGGCCUUGGUAGGGUGUGCCAUGAUAGAUGGUGGAUGUGUUACGCACGAGACCAAAUAAUCAUGUGCUGCUCUAUUGAAUUUAGCCUCUUUUACCCACAUGCGUUUCUAAACGCUCGUGAUGAGACCUCAGGUCAGGCGGGGCUACCCGCUGAAUUUAAGCAUAUCAAUAAGCGGAGGAAAAGAAACUAACAAGGAUUCCCUUAGUAACGGCGAGCGAACCGGGAGAAGCCCACCAUGAGAAUCGGUCGCCUUCGGCGUUCGA